UGGAAGUAAAAAAGUCGUAACAAGGUUUCCGUAGGUGAACCUGCGGAAGGAUCAUUACCGAGUGAGGGCCCUCUGGGUCCAACCUCCCACCCGUGUUUAUUUUACCUUGUUGCUUCGGCGGGCCCGCCUUAACUGGCCGCCGGGGGGCUUACGCCCCCGGGCCCGCGCCCGCCGAAGACACCCUCGAACUCUGUCUGAAGAUUGUAGUCUGAGUGAAAAUAUAAAUUAUUUAAAACUUUCAACAACGGAUCUCUUGGUUCCGGCAUCGAUGAAGAACGCAGCGAAAUGCGAUACGUAAUGUGAAUUGCAAAUUCAGUGAAUCAUCGAGUCUUUGAACGCACAUUGCGCCCCCUGGUAUUCCGGGGGGCAUGCCUGUCCGAGCGUCAUUUCUGCCCUCAAGCACGGCUUGUGUGUUGGGCCCCGUCCUCCGAUCCCGGGGGACGGGCCCGAAAGGCAGCGGCGGCACCGCGUCCGGUCCUCGAGCGUAUGGGGCUUUGUCACCCGCUCUGUAGGCCCGGCCGGCGCUUGCCGAUCAACCCAAAUUUUUAUCCAGGUUGACCUCGGAUCAGGUAGGGAUACCCGCUGAACUUAAGCAUAUCAAUAAGGCGGGAGGA
RNAcentral lists this ribosomal RNA (614 nucleotides) under Penicillium sp. DQ25. Its description in RNAcentral is "eukaryotic LSU rRNA". The stretch from base 234 to 386 matches the Rfam family "5.8S ribosomal RNA". Lineage: Eukaryota; Fungi; Ascomycota; Eurotiomycetes; Eurotiales; Aspergillaceae. The record is from RNAcentral.